This is an RNA transcript of Folsomia candida, 2288 nucleotides long. It is a transcript of the gene named histone acetyltransferase p300, with no coding region annotated. The record is from RefSeq and is a predicted model, not a curated record. The transcript is spliced from 5 exons. NCBI's taxonomy places the organism in Eukaryota, Metazoa, Arthropoda, Collembola, Entomobryomorpha, Isotomidae.
CAUUAUUUUAUAUAAAAAAAUAGUCUAAAUAUACGAGUAUUAAAUAGCGUGAGCAACUUAUUGGUAUCGUUUUGUCCGUCCGCCGUCUGUCCAUAAGCAGGAUAUCUCCAGAAAGAGUUAACAUAAUCAAAUUCCGUUGUGCUUCUAAUUUCUAGUCCUCGGUCAAGUUCUUAAAUGGGGACCAUCAGACCACACCCCACUGCGCUGGGGGGUGUGGUCCAAAAUGUAAUCUUAAUUUUCAUAUGGGGUGUCAUUUUGAAGGAAAUUUGACCUAGAGUUUAAGGACAUUAAAAUUUGUUGACCUCUUGAGGUCAAUUGUCAAAAACACUUAAUAGGCGGUCAUUUUAAAGGAUAUUUCUAUCGUGCCAGCGCUACUUUUUUAUGGGUCCUAUUUAACUGAUCAUAAUUUAAUACUACUUCAGACCAUAAUUAAUACUUUUUUCCUGAAUACUCCAUCUCAUCAUAAUGGAAUCCAACUCGACCGUAACUGGAAUACUAACUUAUUCAUAAUAAAUUCUUCGUCGACCAUAGCCAAGUUAUUGGCGAAUUCUCUUCAGUUUUUCAUGUCAGAGCAAGGAUUAUACAAGUAUUGUGUAAAAAAUGUAUUUUUUAAACAUAGUACUUGGAAAUAUUUCGAUAAAAAGUUGAAAAAUUUACGGAUGAGAUACAUAUCUGUUGAUAAUUGUAUAAAUUUAUUCUAAAAUUCGAAUGAGACCCAUUACCACUGCAAAUUGUAAUAAAAAUAACCGAAUCCGGUUACCUAAUUUAAUAAUCCUUAAAUUAUUGCAAUUACCCAUAGAGAGAUAUAACUUCUAUCAAAGUCAUCUUAUAUCAUAUAAGACGAUUUUGAUUUUAUUUGCUGCAAAGAUAAAGGAAUGUUUGUCAUAGCUAAAUUUUUUCGAAAAAGCAUUUGAAAUUCUCCAUCACGGGUAUCAACUACUUCAAUCUCCGAGAGCCACCCAUAUCGAUUAUUUUGACAAUUCCUUGACUGCAAACAAAUACAUAGGUUCAUCUGCACAUGUCCAUCAUAGUUUAAGACAUAGUUUGUAAGCACAUAAUGCUAUAAAACUUAAAAAUUUUCACCCUCCACCCCAGGCUAAAUGCAUACCAAUUUAAUGGAAAAGCAACCGUGAUAGUUCAGAAAAACCUAUGUAGUAAUUUGUGGAUGACUAAAAAUAGAAAAGUUUGUAAGGUUUAUUCAAAUUUCAUAUUUUAAAACGAUUUUAAAGUAUGUUUUUACUUAUGGCAAAAUCGAGUAAUUAUUAUAAACAACCAAGCACUUUAUUAUGGUGAGAGAGAGUAUUCAGGAAAAAAGUAAUAAUUAUGGUCAGAAGUAGUAUUAAAUUAUGAUGAAUUAAACAUUUUCUCGUUUUGGGUAUAUUCGUUUGUACGAGUAUAUUUUGAAUUAUAAUCGUUUGUGAUCCUCCAUGGCUAUAAUUGAUUUGAGAAUUUUGGUGGCUGGAAGAAAAUGAAAUCUAGCUGGUCCGACAGAUUAAUCUGCCCACUCAUAGUCCCAGAUGAUACUUAAUCCACAAACCUUGACUACUCUACAUAAUUAUGAACACUGAAGAAGCCCGUGACGGAAUCCAUCGUUGGGAUGAAACUAACGUUGCAGAUUUAUCAGCCUUGCUUGAAUCUCUCAACUUCCUGGGCGACAGGGGGAGCGGUGUCCCGAACACCGUGAACCAUGGUGUUCCUAUGAUGCAAACUGCUCAGCGUCAGAACCAAGGACAACCUGUCAACAAUGUUUUGCCACUCAAUAAUCAACUAAAAGCUGCCCCACUAUCAAAUAUAGAUCCCGCAAAGGGAAAACUGAUCCAACAACAACUUAUCCUGCUCCUGCAUGCACACAAGUGUCAGAGACUGGAAAGUCAAGCUCUCAAUGGUAAAGAGUGUACCCUUCCGUAUUGUCGGUUAAUGAAGGACGUGUUGGCGCACAUGGUUACCUGCCGUGCCGGAAAAUCUUGCACGGUCACGCAUUGUUUGACCUCUCGUCGAAUCUUAUCGCAUUGGAAACAUUGUACGCCAGCCGACUGUCCUGUUUGCCUUCCGCUCAAAAGAUAGAGUCAAUCCAACUCAGAAUAUGUAUAACCUUUUCUGAAGCUACACCGGGAUCGAGUUCCAUUGUCAGCCAAAAUAAUUAAGAAUCAGGAGCAGGACAAUUUUAAAAUAAACUGCUGCAAUGCAGGGUACCCAAGUAGUGCAAAAAUUCAGAUAAUGCGAUGCAACAUAAAGAGAAUAAAUAACGAUGAUUAAAGAUCGCCGAAAUCUGAAUUAAUUAAAAAUAA